AACGAACGCUGGCGGCGUGCCUAACACAUGCAAGUCGUACGGGAAAGUGGGCUUCGGCCCGCGAGUAGAGUGGCAGACGGGUGAGUAACACGUGGGUAACCUACCCGGAGGUGGAGGAUAACCUUCCGAAAGGAGGGCUAAUACCGCAUGACAUCUCAGGGGCCUCGGCCCCGGAGAGCAAAGCUAGCCUCUACAUGUAAGCUAGCGCCACCGGAUGGGCCCGCGGCCCAUUAGCAGUUGGUGGGGUAACGGCCCACCAAGGCGACGAUGGGUAGCCGGCCUGAGAGGGUGUCCGGCCACACUGGAACUGAGACACGGUCCAGACUCCUACGGGAGCAGCAGUGAGGAAUCUUGCGCAAUGGGCGAAAGCCUGACGCAGCGACGCCGCGUGGAGGACGAAGGUCUU
This 406-nucleotide ribosomal RNA is filed under the name uncultured bacterium. Its description in RNAcentral is "bacterial SSU rRNA". It matches the Rfam family "Bacterial small subunit ribosomal RNA", at positions 29 to 418 of the family's 1533-position model. The record is from RNAcentral.